CCUACUUUCCCAUUUCUUCCCCCGAUUCUCUCUCUCUCGGCCAAAUAUCGAUUUCUCUCCUAUCUCCGUCUCCUCAUUCUAUAUCUCUCUCUCUUUUGGGUCUCGAGAACUCACUACCCCCGUGAAACUUCACGGCCACAAGUCUUCCACUGAUUCAAGUUAAAAGGGUUCACCCCCCUUUUUGACACCAUGGGCAAAGGGUGGUCUAAGCUGAACCAGAUGCAUGAUCUUCAUCUUAAGUAACAGCAGAUUGACCCAUUAGAGAGCAAACAUCUAGUGAGAGCUGGACCAAAUGAUCAUUUGCCCAGACCGUGUCAGACCGAAGAAGUCAUGUGUCAGAAGUCACCUGCUGCAUGUGCGGUACAAUACAUUCCAUAUGAGAGUCAUGGUGAGCCCUUGCCUCUUGCAACCGCGAAUCAAUGUAGGCAUGUUGUGUAGUAAGAAGCUCAUGAAGCUGGUCCACCUUCCGAGAUAGAGCAUUGAGCUGCUCUUGAAGAGAGGGACUAGAGGUCUGAUGCACUGAAGGUGAGGGUUCAGACUUCUUGCCCUCAACAGCAGCAGAAGAUUUUGUGAGAUUGUUGAUGCAUCAAUGGGAUCAAGGAUUCUCAGGGAAGGCUCAUAGUCGCGUAUGAGAGCAUUAUAAUGGGCAGACAUCUUGGUGAUAAGACAACCAAAAGGCAGGGAGACAUCCUGAACAACAUAAGCAUGAUGUAUAACACAGAUGAUAGGUGUAGGAAGAUCAACAGAGAAGUCAUGAAGGAGAGCAUAAUAAAAUUGAGGUUAUCAAUUGUGACCUCGGUGUGACGAUUAAGUGGUCAGUGAUUUGUAAGAACGAUCUUGGUGAAGUGCCGCUCAGCUGGCAUCAUCACAGAUAGAGAGGAAUGCGCUGUGAUCCCAUUUUCCACUGCUGAGGAAAACUAAAAAGAGUAGAAAGUAGAGCUGGUGUAAGAUCAAUAUGGAUUCCUCGAAGCACGACAUGAAUGCUAAUGCUAUGAGUGUCGAUGUCGAAGUGAGAAAUAUUAGCAUAGAAUUCAUGCACCAAUUCUACUGAAGGAGCAGGAAGAGGCUCAGCAAUAGCCAGCCAACUGCGCUCUCGAAAUAAGGUGGGAAUAAACUUAUUCGCAGGAGCAGAGAAACUAGAAAGACCAAUUAUACUGAGCUCUCUUGAUUACUUUGACCUGUGGUUGAAGAAUACAAAGCAUAGGUCAUAGGGAAAGUAAAUGGAGUUGAAGAUAAGAUAAUCUAGAUAAUCAUGAAAUUCAAAUCUUUUGAUAAGCUAAA
Juglans microcarpa x Juglans regia is the source of this 1281-nucleotide long non-coding RNA. RefSeq lists it as uncharacterized. The record is from RefSeq and is a predicted model, not a curated record. The transcript is spliced from 2 exons. NCBI's taxonomy places the organism in Eukaryota, Viridiplantae, Streptophyta, Magnoliopsida, Fagales, Juglandaceae.